This 490-nucleotide ribosomal RNA is filed under the name uncultured bacterium. Its description in RNAcentral is "partial 16S ribosomal RNA". It matches the Rfam family "Bacterial small subunit ribosomal RNA", at positions 30 to 507 of the family's 1533-position model. The record is from RNAcentral.
AUUGAACGCUGGCGGCAGGCCUAACACAUGCAAGUCGAACGGUAACAGGAAACAGCUUGCUGUUUCGCUGACGAGUGGCGGACGGGUGAGUAAUGUCUGGGAAACUGCCUGAUGGAGGGGGAUAACUACUGGAAACGGUAGCUAAUACCGCAUAACGUCGCAAGACCAAAGAGGGGGGCCCUCGGGCCUCUUGCCAUCGGAUGUGCCCAGAUGGGAUUAGCUUGUUGGUGGGGUAACGGCUCACCAAGGCGACGAUCCCUAGCUGGUCUGAGAGGAUGACCAGCCACACUGGAACUGAGACACGGUCCAGACUCCUACGGGAGGCAGCAGUGGGGAAUAUUGCACAAUGGGCGCAAGCCUGAUGCAGCCAUGCCGCGUGUAUGAAGAAGGCCUUCGGGUUGUAAAGUACUUUCAGCGGGGAGGAAGGGAGUAAAGUUAAUACCUUGGCUCAUUGACGUUACCCGCAGAAGAAGCACCGGCUAACUCCGUG